This 479-nucleotide ribosomal RNA is filed under the name uncultured bacterium. RNAcentral describes it as "partial 16S ribosomal RNA". It matches the Rfam family "Bacterial small subunit ribosomal RNA", at positions 28 to 507 of the family's 1533-position model. The record is from RNAcentral.
GAUGAACGCUAGCGGGAGGCCUAACACAUGCAAGCCGAGCGGUAGAGUUCCUUCGGGAGCUUGAGAGCGGCGUACGGGUGCGUAACACGUGUGCAACCUACCUUUAUCUGGGGGAUAGCCUUUCGAAAGGAAGAUUAAUACCCCAUAAUAUAAUGAUUGGCAUCAAUUAUUAUUGAAAACUCCGGUGGAUAGAGAUGGGCACGCGCAAGAUUAGAUAGUUGGUGAGGUAACGGCUCACCAAGUCAAUGAUCUUUAGGGGUCCUGAGAGGGAGAUCCCCCACACUGGUACUGAGACACGGACCAGACUCCUACGGGAGGCAGCAGUGAGGAAUAUUGGACAAUGGGUGAAAGCCUGAUCCAGCCAUCCCGCGUGAAGGAUGACGGUCCUAUGGAUUGUAAACUUCUUUUGUACAGGGAUAAACCUACUCUCGUGAGGGUAGCUGAAGGUACUGUACGAAUAAGCACCGGCUAACUCCGUG